UACGUAGGGGGCUAGCGUUGUCCGGAUUUAUUGGGCGUAAAGAGCGUGUAGGCGGCCAGGUAGGUCUGGUGUGAAAACUCGAGGCUUAACCUCGAGAUGUCAUCGGAAACCAUUUGGCUAGAGUCCGGAAGAGGAGAGUGGAAUUCCUGGUGUAGCGGUGAAAUGCGCAGAUAUCAGGAAGAACACCAAUGGCGAAAGCAGCUCUCUGGGACGGUACUGACGCUGAGACGCGAAGGCCAGGGGAGCAAACGGG
This 253-nucleotide ribosomal RNA is filed under the name uncultured bacterium. RNAcentral describes it as "partial 16S ribosomal RNA". It matches the Rfam family "Bacterial small subunit ribosomal RNA", at positions 524 to 776 of the family's 1533-position model. The record is from RNAcentral.